RNAcentral lists this ribosomal RNA (2923 nucleotides) under Staphylococcus aureus. RNAcentral describes it as "23S ribosomal RNA". It matches the Rfam family "Bacterial large subunit ribosomal RNA". Lineage: Bacteria; Bacillati; Bacillota; Bacilli; Caryophanales; Staphylococcaceae. The record is from RNAcentral.
GAUUAAGUUAUUAAGGGCGCACGGUGGAUGCCUUGGCACUAGAAGCCGAUGAAGGACGUUACUAACGACGAUAUGCUUUGGGGAGCUGUAAGUAAGCUUUGAUCCAGAGAUUUCCGAAUGGGGAAACCCAGCAUGAGUUAUGUCAUGUUAUCGAUAUGUGAAUACAUAGCAUAUCAGAAGGCACACCCGGAGAACUGAAACAUCUUAGUACCCGGAGGAAGAGAAAGAAAAUUCGAUUCCCUUAGUAGCGGCGAGCGAAACGGGAAGAGCCCAAACCAACAAGCUUGCUUGUUGGGGUUGUAGGACACUCUAUACGGAGUUACAAAGGACGACAUUAGACGAAUCAUCUGGAAAGAUGAAUCAAAGAAGGUAAUAAUCCUGUAGUCGAAAAUGUUGUCUCUCUUGAGUGGAUCCUGAGUACGACGGAGCACGUGAAAUUCCGUCGGAAUUUGGGAGGACCAUCUCCUAAGGCUAAAUACUCUCUAGUGACCGAUAGCGAACCAGUACCGUGAGGGAAAGGUGAAAAGCACCCCGGAAGGGGAGUGAAAUAGAACCUGAAACCGUGUGCUUACAAGUAGUCAGAGCCCGUUAAUGGGUGAUGGCGUGCCUUUUGUAGAAUGAACCGGCGAGUUACGAUUUGAUGCAAGGUUAAGCAGUAAAUGUGGAGCCGUAGCGAAAGCGAGUCUGAAUAGGGCGUUUAGUAUUUGGUCGUAGACCCGAAACCAGGUGAUCUACCCUUGGUCAGGUUGAAGUUCAGGUAACACUGAAUGGAGGACCGAACCGACUUACGUUGAAAAGUGAGCGGAUGAACUGAGGGUAGCGGAGAAAUUCCAAUCGAACCUGGAGAUAGCUGGUUCUCUCCGAAAUAGCUUUAGGGCUAGCCUCAAGUGAUGAUUAUUGGAGGUAGAGCACUGUUUGGACGAGGGGCCCCUCUAGGGUUACCGAAUUCAGACAAACUCCGAAUGCCAAUUAAUUUAACUUGGGAGUCAGAACAUGGGUGAUAAGGUCCGUGUUCGAAAGGGAAACAGCCCAGACCACCAGCUAAGGUCCCAAAAUAUAUGUUAAGUGGAAAAGGAUGUGGCGUUGCCCAGACAACUAGGAUGUUGGCUUAGAAGCAGCCAUCAUUUAAAGAGUGCGUAAUAGCUCACUAGUCGAGUGACACUGCGCCGAAAAUGUACCGGGGCUAAACAUAUUACCGAAGCUGUGGAUUGUCCUUUGGACAAUGGUAGGAGAGCGUUCUAAGGGCGUUGAAGCAUGAUCGUAAGGACAUGUGGAGCGCUUAGAAGUGAGAAUGCCGGUGUGAGUAGCGAAAGACGGGUGAGAAUCCCGUCCACCGAUUGACUAAGGUUUCCAGAGGAAGGCUCGUCCGCUCUGGGUUAGUCGGGUCCUAAGCUGAGGCCGACAGGCGUAGGCGAUGGAUAACAGGUUGAUAUUCCUGUACCACCUAUAAUCGUUUUAAUCGAUGGGGGGACGCAGUAGGAUAGGCGAAGCGUGCGAUUGGAUUGCACGUCUAAGCAGUAAGGCUGAGUAUUAGGCAAAUCCGGUACUCAUUAAGGCUGAGCUGUGAUGGGGAGAAGACAUUGUGUCUUCGAGUCGUUGAUUUCACACUGCCGAGAAAAGCCUCUAGAUAGAAAAUAGGUGCCCGUACCGCAAACCGACACAGGUAGUCAAGAUGAGAAUUCUAAGGUGAGCGAGCGAACUCUCGUUAAGGAACUCGGCAAAAUGACCCCGUAACUUCGGGAGAAGGGGUGCUCUUUAGGGUUAACGCCCAGAAGAGCCGCAGUGAAUAGGCCCAAGCGACUGUUUAUCAAAAACACAGGUCUCUGCUAAACCGUAAGGUGAUGUAUAGGGGCUGACGCCUGCCCGGUGCUGGAAGGUUAAGAGGAGUGGUUAGCUUCUGCGAAGCUACGAAUCGAAGCCCCAGUAAACGGCGGCCGUAACUAUAACGGUCCUAAGGUAGCGAAAUUCCUUGUCGGGUAAGUUCCGACCCGCACGAAAGGCGUAACGAUUUGGGCACUGUCUCAACGAGAGACUCGGUGAAAUCAUAGUACCUGUGAAGAUGCAGGUUACCCGCGACAGGACGGAAAGACCCCGUGGAGCUUUACUGUAGCCUGAUAUUGAAAUUCGGCACAGCUUGUACAGGAUAGGUAGGAGCCUUUGAAACGUGAGCGCUAGCUUACGUGGAGGCGCUGGUGGGAUACUACCCUAGCUGUGUUGGCUUUCUAACCCGCACCACUUAUCGUGGUGGGAGACAGUGUCAGGCGGGCAGUUUGACUGGGGCGGUCGCCUCCUAAAAGGUAACGGAGGCGCUCAAAGGUUCCCUCAGAAUGGUUGGAAAUCAUUCAUAGAGUGUAAAGGCAUAAGGGAGCUUGACUGCGAGACCUACAAGUCGAGCAGGGUCGAAAGACGGACUUAGUGAUCCGGUGGUUCCGCAUGGAAGGGCCAUCGCUCAACGGAUAAAAGCUACCCCGGGGAUAACAGGCUUAUCUCCCCCAAGAGUUCACAUCGACGGGGAGGUUUGGCACCUCGAUGUCGGCUCAUCGCAUCCUGGGGCUGUAGUCGGUCCCAAGGGUUGGGCUGUUCGCCCAUUAAAGCGGUACGCGAGCUGGGUUCAGAACGUCGUGAGACAGUUCGGUCCCUAUCCGUCGUGGGCGUAGGAAAUUUGAGAGGAGCUGUCCUUAGUACGAGAGGACCGGGAUGGACAUACCUCUGGUGUACCAGUUGUCGUGCCAACGGCAUAGCUGGGUAGCUAUGUGUGGACGGGAUAAGUGCUGAAAGCAUCUAAGCAUGAAGCCCCCCUCAAGAUGAGAUUUCCCAACUUCGGUUAUAAGAUCCCUCAAAGAUGAUGAGGUUAAUAGGUUCGAGGUGGAAGCAUGGUGACAUGUGGAGCUGACGAAUACUAAUCGAUCGAAAACUUAAUCAA